GAUCCUGCCUCAGGAUGAACGCUAGCUACAGGCUUAACACAUGCAAGUCGAGGGGCAGCAUGACGGAAGCUUGCUUUCGUUGAUGGCGACCGGCGCACGGGUGAGUAACGCGUAUCCAACCUGCCCCUGUCCAUCGGAUAACCCGUCGAAAGGCGGACUAACACGAUAUGCAGUUCACAGCAGGCAUCUAACGUGAACGAAAUGUAAAGGAGAAGGAUGGGGAUGCGU
Molecule: ribosomal RNA, 228 nt
Filed under: uncultured bacterium
Lineage: Bacteria
Description: partial 16S ribosomal RNA
Rfam family: Bacterial small subunit ribosomal RNA
Source: RNAcentral